UACGUAGGCAGCAAGCGUUGUUCGGAGUUACUGGGCGUAAAGGGUGUGUAGGCGGUUCUUUAAGUUUGGUGUGAAAUCUCCCGGCUCAACCGGGAGGGUGCGCCGAAUACUGAGGGACUAGAGUGUGGGAGAGGAAAGUGGAAUUCCUGGUGUAGCGGUGAAAUGCGUAGAUAUCAGGAGGAACACCGGUGGUGUAGACGGCUUUCUGGACCAUAACUGACGCUGAGACACGAAAGCGUGGGUAGCAAACGGG
This 253-nucleotide ribosomal RNA is filed under the name uncultured bacterium. RNAcentral describes it as "partial 16S ribosomal RNA". It matches the Rfam family "Bacterial small subunit ribosomal RNA", at positions 524 to 776 of the family's 1533-position model. The record is from RNAcentral.